GGAAGUUCGUAACAAGGUUUCCGCAGGUGAACCUGCGGAAGGAUCAUUAUCGUACAAAAUGUGAGGGGCAUGCGAGGGCUGUCGCUGACCCAAAAGUCGUGCACGCCCGAGUGUGUCCUCUUGCAUAAUAAUCCAUCUCACCCUUUGUGCAUCACCGCGUGGGCACCCUUCGGGAUCAUCUCGGAGGGGGGCUCGCGUUUUCACACAAACCCCCCUUUUAAAAGUGUAGUAUGACCACAUUUAUGCAAUCAAUACAACUUUCAACAACGGAUCUCUUGGCUCUC
This 284-nucleotide unclassified non-coding RNA is filed under the name plant metagenome. Its description in RNAcentral is "partial contains small subunit ribosomal RNA, internal transcribed spacer 1, and 5.8S ribosomal RNA". The stretch from base 1 to 49 matches the Rfam family "Eukaryotic small subunit ribosomal RNA", at positions 1784 to 1831 of the family's 1831-position model. The record is from RNAcentral.